RNAcentral lists this unclassified non-coding RNA (241 nucleotides) under uncultured fungus. RNAcentral describes it as "sequence contains ITS1". The record is from RNAcentral. Lineage: Eukaryota; Fungi.
UUGGUUUCGUUUUUAGUUUUGAUAUUGAUCAACAAUAUCUACAUUAAGUUGCAAGUCACGAAUUUAUCGCACUAGAUUUCUAGUGGUUUUAAAAGGUUUGGAGUAACGACACCAAAACACAAAUUUUGCUGCCGAAUAAUCGAGUUCCGCAUGACGCAAAUUAAAUCAAGUUUUUUAAACAUUGAUUUAAAUUGUUUUAAAGGGUGUGGUAAUGAUCCUUCCGCAGGUUCACCUACGGAAA